UGGGGAAUUUUGGACAAUGGGGGAAACCCUGAUCCAGCCAUCCCGCGUGUGCGAUGAAGGCCUUCGGGUUGUAAAGCACUUUUGGCAGGAAAGAAACGUCGCGGGUUAAUACCCCGCGAAACUGACGGUACCUGCAGAAUAAGCACCGGCUAACUACGUGCCAGCAGCCGCGGUAAUACGUAGGGUGCAAGCGUUAAUCGGAAUUACUGGGCGUAAAGCGUGCGCAGGCGGUUCGGAAAGAAAGAUGUGAAAUCCCAGAGCUUAACUUUGGAACUGCAUUUUUAACUACCGGGCUAGAGUGUGUCAGAGGGAGGUGGAAUUCCGCGUGUAGCAGUGAAAUGCGUAGAUAUGCGGAGGAACACCGAUGGCGAAGGCAGCCUCCUGGGAUAACACUGACGCUCAUGCACGAAAGCGUGGGGAGCAAACAGGAUUGGAUACCCUGGUAGUCCACGCCCUAAACGAUGUCAACUAGCUGUUGGGGCCUUCGGGCCUUGGUAGCGCAGCUAACGCGUGAAGUUGACCGCCUGGGGAGUACGGUCGCAAGAUUAAAACUCAAAUGAAUUGACGGGGUCAUAGCUG
This 579-nucleotide ribosomal RNA is filed under the name uncultured bacterium. Its description in RNAcentral is "partial 16S ribosomal RNA". It matches the Rfam family "Bacterial small subunit ribosomal RNA", at positions 355 to 932 of the family's 1533-position model. The record is from RNAcentral.